RNAcentral lists this ribosomal RNA (541 nucleotides) under uncultured Actinomycetes bacterium. Its description in RNAcentral is "bacterial SSU rRNA". It matches the Rfam family "Bacterial small subunit ribosomal RNA", at positions 9 to 565 of the family's 1533-position model. The record is from RNAcentral. Lineage: Bacteria; Bacillati; Actinomycetota; Actinomycetes.
GAGUUUUGAUCCUGGCUCAGAAUCAACGCUGGCGGCGUGCCUAACACAUGCAAGUCGAACGAGAAAGUGGAGCAAUCCAUGAGUAAAGUGGCGACCGGGUGAGUAACACGUGACUAACCUACCUUCGAGUGGGGGAUAACCUCGGGAAACCGGGGCUAAUACCGCAUAACAUCCUUGGAGUGGAAACUCUGGGGAUCAAAGGAGCAAUUCGCUGGAAGAGGGGGUCGCGGCUGAUUAGCUAGUUGGCGGGGUAACGGCCCACCAAGGCUUUGAUCGGUAGCCGGCCUGAGAGGGCGCACGGCCACACUGGAACUGAAACACGGUCCAGACUCCUACGGGAGGCAGCAGUGGGGAAUUUUGCGCAAUGGGGGAAACCCUGACGCAGCAACGCCGCGUGGAGGAUGAAGUCCCUUGGGACGUAAACUCCUUUCGACCGGGACGAUAAUGACGGUACCGGUUGGAAGAAGCCCCGGCUAACUUCGUGCCAGCAGCCGCGGUAAUACGAGGGGGGCAAGCGUUGUCGGAAUUAUUGGGCGUAAAG